CACAACAAUUUCCUGUUCAGCUUUACUCUGUGAGCAAAAGCAGAGACCGAGGUUGGCAAGCAGUAAUGGGAGAGCCGGGGCUCUCCCCCAGCCCCCAGAGAGCCUGCUUUCUCCUGCCCUGCUCUCGGCAUAAGCCGCUUCAGCCACGGGGUGAUCCUCUUGAAUCGCUUUUUAACCGAGUCAAGAAGACUUCUAUGGCAACAGCCUUGUUUGUGUCCUCGCUCCAGACUUUGCUGCUGAUCACCCACAGCCUUUUGGUUCCCCUGUCCGUGUUACAACGCAGCAGGAAGACUCAGAGGACACAUAGUGAGGCACCAAACCCUGUUGAGACCAGCAACUAAGGACUAAAAUGCCUUUUGUUUGGUGGAAGCUGUUCUGGGCCAUGAUGCAAGCCCCACUGCAAGCAUGGAUCUGAGAGCCUGAGACCGUGGUGCAGAACCUCCAAAGGUUUAUUUUUAGGGAGGCAACGUACAUAUGAGGAGAAAAAAGAGACUAUUAUGAAAAGUAGAGGGACUCAAAUAGCAGCUGUAAAAACUAAAACUUCCAACAAUACAACAAACAGAAAAUUACAUUUCCCUUCAUUGUGUGGAAGGAAUGAAGCUUCCAACCAGCUGUGGAGGAAAUAAGGAGUUUACAUUAUUAGCAGUGUCAGUGAAGAUCAACAUACAUAUUUCCUGUCUGUCUCCCUUUACAAAUUAGCAAAACUUUGACAAAAAAAAUUCUUUUAAUUUUAUUCCAUUUUUUCUGUUUCUGUGGGGAGAACAUGCACCCCAAGCAGUAUGGUCACGAACAGCAUAGCUGAGAAAGUGCCAUGGGAAACUGAGCAAACAGGGGAUCAAAAGAAAAAAGACAGAAAUGGUUGUGAUGCCAGAGCAAUGCAAUUCUGCCCUUCACAUUUCUGGGCCCAGACACAGCAGCAGCUUGCGGGCUUGUGUUGAUGUCUGUGGUCUCACAGAACAGUGUAUGCCAUUUACUCACAAACCCAAGCCCAAAGAUUUUACAACAUCUCUUUCCAUGCAGAAAAUUACCUCCCCCUUUGUUUGUUUUAAGUUUCAAAGCAUUGACAUAUAAAUUUAAAAUAUUAAAAGAAAAAUGCCAUAUUCAGUCUUGGUGCUUGUUUAUUCAGUCUGUAUAAGCAGAAAUCACAGCCCAUAUGUACCAGAGAGUUUUCCAUGUCAUCC
Molecule: long non-coding RNA, 1181 nt
Filed under: Cyanistes caeruleus (blue tit)
Lineage: Eukaryota; Metazoa; Chordata; Aves; Passeriformes; Paridae
Description: lncRNA (ENSCCEG00000014203.1)
Source: RNAcentral